GGGUCAGUAGGUUGGUCGUGCCACCGGUACGUACUGGUCUCACUGAUUCCUCCUUCCUGAAGAACCGUAAUGCCAUUAAUUUGGUGUUGCGGGGAAACAGGACUGUUACUUGGAAAAAAUUAGAGUGUUUAAAGCAAGCUAACGCUUGAAUACAUUAGCAUGGAAUAAUGAAAUAGGACGAUCGAUCCUAUUUUGUUGGUUUCUAGGAUUGACGUA
RNAcentral lists this ribosomal RNA (216 nucleotides) under Glomeromycotina sp. RNAcentral describes it as "partial small subunit ribosomal RNA". The stretch from base 40 to 216 matches the Rfam family "Eukaryotic small subunit ribosomal RNA", at positions 686 to 864 of the family's 1831-position model. The record is from RNAcentral. Lineage: Eukaryota; Fungi; Glomeromycota.